This is a long non-coding RNA of Oreochromis aureus, 1403 nucleotides long. Lineage: Eukaryota; Metazoa; Chordata; Actinopteri; Cichliformes; Cichlidae. The record is from Ensembl.
CUUAUGUUUCUAAAUGACACAACCAUAAAGCAGCCCACAGAAUAUACAAAUAUGUGCUUGAUAAGUGAAUGUUGGCUCCCACAAUGGCCUGUUAAGUUAUUGCAAAAAUAAUUUACUGCAUAAUAUGUCAGAUUAGAACAUGUUAUAAGCACAAAACUGAAGGGGAAACAAUAAAACAAAAAUUAAAAAACAAAUACUAAAUUAAGUUAAAGGAUAUUUCUUACUAUACUAUAUAAUUGUAUAAUGUUGCGUUUGAUUGCAAAUGAAAACCCACCAAGAAAAAAAAGAAAGAAAGAAAAGAGAGAAUAGAGUUUAAUUUAUUCAAAACACAUUCUUUUCUUUUAUUUAAGCUGUAGCGAGAUUCAAAUGGACAAAAGAGAAAGAAAAAUAUUACAGAUUUGUUUUAUUAAUCAUGAAUAAACUUUAUUAUACACAACUCUAAAUUUCAGUUGGUCUUAGUCAGAUGUGUUUUUAAUUAAAUCCUGCAACACUGUGCUCGCUGCCAUCACUUUAUAUCUUAGUGUGCAAUUCAAAUAUAUACUUAUUACAAUAUUUUUCCCCCUUAACUCUCAACUCGCGUUUUUAAAAUGUCUGUGAUCAUAUUUGUCCGUUGACUUCUGUCUGGGCCUCGAACGAUUCAUCAGACAGGUUGGCAGCCUCCAACUGAUGCUCCAGACUUUCAUCAUCGCCUCUAUUCUGAUCAACUCUUAUCUUAAACUUAGUGAUGAACUCAUUACUGGCCAGCGCGCCCUCCUUUUUAGGGCAUGUGGGCUUUGAUAACAGCCGGCUGUCCAGUCGCUUCUGCAAAGAAAAUUAAGCAAAACAUUUCUUAUUUGGUAAGCUUGUUAACAAAUUUUAGUUCAGUUUUGCUGAAAGUUAUAGCAUGCAUCAGGUAAGAAGCAAUUGGUUUUUAAAAAGCAUAUACAUUCCCCAAAACAUUUUUAUUAUGUGCAUUUUGGAGAAUAAAAGAUUGUACACAAUUUCCCUUUUUAAAGUAAAAAGAUUAUUAAGUCUAAUUCUUACUUAUUCAGUAGAUUUCAUGCCUGAUUUCAAAACACCAAGAUGGCAGUCGUGAAAACACUCAUCUUGAGUCUUCAUGGGACUACGAAGUCUGUGCUGCAAAGAGGCAAAGUGAAUACGGCACCUGCAGGAGUAAUGGGGGUCAUCAGUCGGUUCAGCUGGAUGUUCCAGUGCCGUACAUGUUGACUGGCAUUCCUCAGCCUCUCCUGAACCUCCUGGAAACAAAAAUCAUGCAGGCAUCCUCAUCAGUGUUGUUUUAGAAGAGCACUAAAUAAGAUGCUGCUCACAAAGCCAGUCAAAACAAACUUGUUCACCUCCAGACGCUGGUGGCUUCUUUGGCGAGAUGCCUGCAGAUCCUGGAGCUCCUGAGAGGCAGAGUUGAG